GUGAGGAAUAUUGGUCAAUGGGCGCAAGCCUGAACCAGCCAUCCCGCGUGCAGGAAGAAGGCGCUAUGCGUUGUAAACUGCUUUUGCAGGGGAAGAAAAUACCGGUCGUGACCGGGACUGACAGUACCCUGUGAAUAAGCAUCGGCUAACUCCGUGCCAGCAGCCGCGGUAAUACGGAGGAUGCAAGCGUUAUCCGGAUUCAUUGGGUUUAAAGGGUGCGCAGGCGGACUGAUAAGUCAGUGGUGAAAUUUUGCAGCUUAACUGUAAACGUGCCAUUGAUACUGUCAGUCUUGAGUUUGGUCAAGGUAGGCGGAAUGUGUAAUGUAGCGGUGAAAUGCUUAGAUAUUACACAGAACACCGAUUGCGAAGGCAGCUUACUGGGCCACGACUGACGCUCAUGCACGAAAGCGUGGGGAGCAAACAGGAUUAGAAACCCGAGUAGUCC
This 445-nucleotide ribosomal RNA is filed under the name uncultured bacterium. RNAcentral describes it as "bacterial SSU rRNA". It matches the Rfam family "Bacterial small subunit ribosomal RNA", at positions 354 to 796 of the family's 1533-position model. The record is from RNAcentral.